RNAcentral lists this ribosomal RNA (440 nucleotides) under uncultured bacterium. Its description in RNAcentral is "partial 16S ribosomal RNA". It matches the Rfam family "Bacterial small subunit ribosomal RNA", at positions 338 to 795 of the family's 1533-position model. The record is from RNAcentral.
CCUACGGGUGGCAGCAGUGGGGGAUAUUGCACAAUGGGGGGAACUCUGAUGCAGCGACGCCGCGUGGGUGAAGAAGCGCCUCGGCGCGUAAAGCCCUGUCAGCAGGGAAGAAAAUGACGGUACCUGAAGAAGAAGCCCAGGCUAACUACGUGCCAGCAGCCGCGGUAAGACGGAGGGGGCAAGGGUUAUCCGGAUUUACUGGGUGUAAAGGGGGCGCAGACGGUGAUGCAAGUCAGUGGUGAAAGCCCGGGGCCCAACCACGGGACUGCUUUUGGAACUGCGUGGCUGGAGUGCAGUAGGGGCAGGCGGAAUUCCUGGUGUAGCGGUGAAAUGCGUAGAGAUCAGAAGGAACACCGGUGGCGAAGGCAGCCUGCUGGACUACAACUGACGUUGAGGCCCGAAAGCGUGGGGAGCAAACAGGAUUAGAUACCCGUGUAGUC